This is a long non-coding RNA of Vollenhovia emeryi, 885 nucleotides long. RefSeq lists it as uncharacterized. NCBI's taxonomy places the organism in Eukaryota, Metazoa, Arthropoda, Insecta, Hymenoptera, Formicidae. The transcript is spliced from 3 exons. The record is from RefSeq and is a predicted model, not a curated record.
AUGCGAAGCGACACCACCCCACACUGACCCCUGCCUUCAGGGCGAAACUAGAUCCACUCGUUCGACUUUCACGCGAAAAUGCUAAUAAGUUGUUGAUAAAUUGAAGUCUUUUUGUUAAAGCAGAGAAUACUUACAUGGGUUAGAUAUAAACAGUUGAAUACUUUUAAAGCGCGUCAUCUAACCCAUGUAGAACGAGGUGCCACAUGGGAUCGUGGCGCGCUUUACAAGCUCGUUUAUAUACAUAUAUAUCUAUAUCUAUCUAUAUAUAUUAAUAUAUAGAUGUUACGGAUAAGGUUCUUAUCUUCCGCACGUAUACAGGUAGAGCAGGUUAAAUUAAACAGAAAAGUUAUGUACGAUUUUGUAAAAUUCUUAAUUAUAUAGUUAUCGAGUAAUUAAUUAAACCGUCUGAGUGAAUGAGCACGAGGAAAACGGUAGGCCGGACUCGGCAGAUAUUAAAUGGCUUAUCUGUUUAGUCUUAUAAUGGUGAAGGACGAGUGAAUCAUCUGAAGCAGAAUUCUGAAGCUCACCGUUCACUGCGUAACAACUGUUUUCCGAUGCGUCGCUCUAUCUCCCAAUAUUAGAUACCCACUUUUGCAAUGAUAUUAAACAAAUAAGGCAGUUUAACCCUCACUAUCUGUACACAAGCGGGUGGACACCUUAUCCGUAACACCCUAGUCGAAAAGUCUUCUAUCAUUGUGCAAUUUUCAUAAUUUUCAUGAAAAUCUUGGGAAUUUUAAAAACAACGAAGAAAAACGGAAUAUUGAAUAUUUAAGCUGAUACUAGAGAAAGCGGUCUAUAUACGCAUCAUCAGAUGCACACUCAUGUAAGCAUAUUGAACAUAUACAAGAAAUAUAUCUUGUAAUAAUAAAAGAACUAACUAAUGUA